Molecule: unclassified non-coding RNA, 779 nt
Filed under: Hevea brasiliensis (rubber tree)
Lineage: Eukaryota; Viridiplantae; Streptophyta; Magnoliopsida; Malpighiales; Euphorbiaceae
Source: RNAcentral
GACUUUUUGCAUCCGAGCUUAGGUGUUCUGGGCCUGCUGCUAAGUUAAGGCCUCACCUGGUUUCCGGGGAGCCGGAAGCACCGCCUGAGAAGGAUCCCGUUGAACAAAUAUUAGCCCACAGACUAUGGCUUGGAUUUUUCGUUGAUCGGUUUGAGGUUGUUCGACAUGAUAGUGUUCCACAGCUUUUGCUUUUAGGGCGGUUGUUGCAAGGAACCACCAAAUUACCUUGGAAUUUUUCUUCCCACCCAGCUGCCACUGGCACAUUUUUCACCCUUAUGCUACUUGGGCUGAAGUUCUGCUCAUGCAAGUCACAGGGUAAUCUGCGAAACCUUAGGGCUGGGCUUCAGCUUCUGGAAGACAGGAUAUAUCGGGCAUCAUUGGGGUGGUUUGCUCACCAACCUGAGUGGUAUGACAUGAACAAAAACUUUGCCCUGAGUGAGGCGCAGUCUGUUACUAUGUUUGUCCAUCAUCUUUUGAAUGAGCAAUUAGAUACUCCCCAACUUGAUUCAAGAGGACGGGCACUUGAAAAUGGAAGCUCUUUGAAUGAUGUGAGAGAUCAAUACCAUCCUGUUUGGGGCCAAAUGGAGAGCUAUGCUGUUGGAAGGGAAAAGCGGAAGCAGUUGCUUCUGAUGUUGUGCCAACAUGAAGCUGACAGACUUGAUGUUUGGGCACAACCCACUGUCAAGGAAAUUACUUCACGUCUUAAAAUCAGCUCUGAUAAAUGGGUGGAUUUUGCGCGAACCGCCUUUUCUGUGGAUCCUCGGAUAGCUCUGUGUCUG